GAUGAACGCUGGCGGCGUGCCUAAUACAUGCAAGUCGAGCGAACGGACGAGAAGCUUGCUUCUCUGAUGUUAGCGGCGGACGGGUGAGUAACACGUGGAUAACCUACCUAUAAGACUGGGAUAACUUCGGGAAACCGUAGCUAAUACCGGAUAAUAUUUUGAACCGCAUGGUUCAAAAGUGAAAGACGGUCUUGCUGUCACUUAUAGAUGGAUCCGCGCUGCAUUAGCUAGUUGGUAAGGUAACGGCUUACCAAGGCAACGAUGCAUAGCCGACCUGAGAGGGUGAUCGGCCACACUGGAACGUAGACACGGUCCAGAGUCCUACGGGAGGCAGCAGUAGGGAAUCUUCCGCAAUGGGCGAAAGCCUGACGGAGCAACGCCGCGUGAGUGAUGAAGGUCUUCGGAUCGUAAAACUCUGUUAUGAGGGAAGAACAUAUGUGUAAGUAACUGUGCACAGCUUGACGGUACCUAAUCAGAAAGCCACGGCUAACUACGUG
RNAcentral lists this ribosomal RNA (497 nucleotides) under uncultured bacterium. RNAcentral describes it as "partial 16S ribosomal RNA". It matches the Rfam family "Bacterial small subunit ribosomal RNA", at positions 28 to 507 of the family's 1533-position model. The record is from RNAcentral.